RNAcentral lists this transfer RNA (63 nucleotides) under Cantonius szechuanensis. Its description in RNAcentral is "tRNA-His". The record is from RNAcentral. Lineage: Eukaryota; Metazoa; Arthropoda; Insecta; Coleoptera; Buprestidae.
AUUUAAAUAGUUUAUAAAAAUAUCGAUUUGUGGGGUCGGGGAUGCGCUAAUGUGCUUUAAAUA